RNAcentral lists this long non-coding RNA (126 nucleotides) under Lonchura striata (white-rumped munia). RNAcentral describes it as "domestica (Bengalese finch) lncRNA (ENSLSDG00000003318.1)". The record is from RNAcentral. Lineage: Eukaryota; Metazoa; Chordata; Aves; Passeriformes; Estrildidae.
UCAGAUGUGGGUCUCUAUGGGUCGGCCAUGAGUCAGAUGUGGGGCAGCCCCUCUGGAUGUGGGUCAGCUGUGGGUCUCAGUGGGUCCCUGUGGGUCUCAGUGGGUCUCAGAGGGUCUCUAUGGGUC